Molecule: ribosomal RNA, 441 nt
Filed under: uncultured bacterium
Lineage: Bacteria
Description: bacterial SSU rRNA
Rfam family: Bacterial small subunit ribosomal RNA
Source: RNAcentral
AAGUAUUGCACAAUGGGCGCAAGCCUGAUGCAGCCAUGCCGCGUGUAUGAAGAAGGCCUUCGGGUUGUAAAGUACUUUCAGCAGUGAGGAAGGUGGGUAUGUUAAUAGCAUAUUCAUUUGACGUUAGCUGCAGAAGAAGCACCGGCUAACUCCGUGCCAGCAGCCGCGGUAAUACGGAGGGUGCGAGCGUUAAUCGGAAUUACUGGGCGUAAAGCGCAUGCAGGUGGUUUGUUAAGUCAGAUGUGAAAGCCCGGGGCUCAACCUCGGAAUUGCAUUUGAAACUGGCAAACUAGAGUACUGUAGAGGGGGUAGAAUUUCAGGUGUAGCGGUGAAAUGCGUAGAGAUCUGAAGGAAUACCGGUGGCGAAGGCGGCCCCCUGGACAGAUACUGACACUCAGAUGCGAAAGCGUGGGGAGCAAACAGGAUUAGAUACCCUGGUAG